This is a long non-coding RNA of Erpetoichthys calabaricus (reedfish), 1414 nucleotides long. RefSeq lists it as uncharacterized. NCBI's taxonomy places the organism in Eukaryota, Metazoa, Chordata, Cladistia, Polypteriformes, Polypteridae. The transcript has 7 exons. The record is from RefSeq and is a predicted model, not a curated record.
UCCCCAAUGUAUCUCGCGCACACGCAUGCACGCAAUCACACGCACGCGUUUCGUUGUCGGAAGGUAACAAUGAAACUGACAAACUAUUCGAUCGAUUAACUUCUCGUCCAUGUAAGUCAAGUAUAUGGACGUGCAGUUUCGGAAUGUUAACUCUCUUGCUAGUCAGUGUUACUGCACUGAGCAGAAAAGUCUAUUUUGUGACCAACUUCAAACGGGAACCCUCGAUAUCUCACUUCGAUCCUGCUGCAGCAAUGCCGUGAAGAAAAGCUGCUCAACUGCUCUAGUAUUCAGCCUUCUGAAUCAGCCACAUGUCUUCUGUGAGCCUUUAGGAGAAAAAAAGAAAGAAAUUGCAAGGAAAGGAUCUGGAAUCACUUGGGCCAUGAUACUAACUCACCACAAGCUAGACCUUCUAAACGCAGGUGCAUUUAUACUACAAUCAACUGAGACCACUUGACUACAUUGGAUUCAAAAGGAUUAAGCCAGUUUAGGAUCACCAAUUAACCUUCUGUAUAAUACACAGGAGAUAUGAAAGUGAAACCAGGAAAACCCAAAAGAGGACAUAUACUGUAUUGAGGCAUAAUUUGGAAGUGUGGCUUAUUAAGUACUGUUCCUUAAAUGUGGAAGUAUAUAGUUUGUGGUGAAGAUUGUGGUGAAGAAAAAUCAGGAACAUCAUAACAGCCAUUGACAAGAACAACCAUAUUGAAAUGAGAAGAGCUUGCAUAUUAAAAGCACUUAUCAUUAUCUGAAGACAUCAUAAAAGAGUACCUUGAUAUUGCAGACAGCCAGGAAGCCAUGAACCAGACACCCAUAGGCAUAUUUGUCAUCAUACAUGAAGGAGCAGAACCCACUGAUGACUUUGAGGAUGUUGGAAUAAUUAUCGAAGGUGUUGAAGUGAUGCACAACCUACACAACAUUGCAAAUGCAUUUGCUAUUUUGUUUGGCACAAUGUAUGCACUGAAUUUGAGCCACCCACAAUAUUUGAGAUUUACCUUUGAGGUUCUGCAGAAGAUAGUUAUUGAACUAGAUGGGGCCAAACUAUCAAACAAGGCCCAAGUGCUAAAAAACAAACUGUUUAAAGCAACAGCUUAGGCUUACGAGAUGCAAUAGGUGUUGCACACCACAGUUUAUUUGUGUUUAUUUGUUUUUUUGUUGUUCUUUUCCUAACUAAUCCUGUUUAAAGGAAAAAUUUAAGGCACUUUGUUUUUUUUUUUGUUUUUUUUAAAAGGGACAGGCUGUUUUUUGUUGCCACCACUGUUAAAUGUGAUUUCAGCCUAUUUUCCAUGACUUUUAUCAGUGUUAUAAAGACCAAUAUAUCAUUUUAUAUAAUAUUUUUUUAUUUGAUGUUUAUAUUGUUACUGUAUAUAAUUCAACUUUGUAUUUUGUAGCUUUGUUAAUAAAUGCAGUUAAAAAGGUA